UUAAGCAUAUCAAUAAGCGGAGGAAAAGAAACUAACAAGGAUUCCCCUAGUAACUGCGAGUGAAGCGGGAAAAGCUCAAAUUUAAAAUCUGGCGGUCUUUGGCCGUCCGAGUUGUAGUCUGGAGAAGUGCUUUCCGCGCUGGACCGUGUACAAGUCUCUUGGAACAGAGCGUCAUAGAGGGUGAGAAUCCCGUCUUUGACACGGACUACCAGUGCUUUGUGAUGCGCUCUCAACGAGUCGAGUUGUUUGGGAAUGCAGCUCAAAAUGGGUGGUAAAUUCCAUCUAAAGCUAAAUAUUGGCGAGAGACCGAUAGCGAACAAGUACCGUGAGGGAAAGAUGAAAAGCACUUUGGAAAGAGAGUUAAACAGUACGUGAAAUUGCUGAAAGGGAAACGAUUGAAGUCAGUCGCGUUGGCCGGAACUCAGCCUUGCUUCCGCUUGGUGUAUUUUCUGGUUGACGGGCCAGCAUCAGUUUUGAUCGUUGGAUAAAGGCUGGGGGAAUGUGGCACCUUCGGGUGUGUUAUAGCC
RNAcentral lists this small RNA (527 nucleotides) under Antrodia sitchensis. Its description in RNAcentral is "LSU rRNA". It matches the Rfam family "Eukaryotic large subunit ribosomal RNA", at positions 34 to 561 of the family's 3401-position model. Lineage: Eukaryota; Fungi; Basidiomycota; Agaricomycetes; Polyporales; Fomitopsidaceae. The record is from RNAcentral.